CUGGCUGCAUGUGUCAUCUCAAACUCACUGAGAUCAGGAGCAUAUUAAGGGAAACUUUCCCUCCAUAUUUUCUGGGACAGCUGUAGAGAGUUGGAAGAGCCUCUGGUGGCAGCAGACAAGCCAUUGUUGCCUAUGCGGGCUAUGUGGCUUCAGGGGUGAGCAGAGUUCCCAGGAGGUUGCACAGACUUCUCCACCACCCUGUUACAGAGAUUCACCUCCAGACUGUGCUCAGCCGGACGAGGAGGAGGGAUAAGGCAGCACAAGGGGCAUUUGCAUGGGAGGAUUUUGCCAGUGGUGCAGUUGGUGGUCUGGUUCAGAGCACAGCAUGUGUUCCAUGGGUUGAGUCUAAGGGAAAGCAGGCUGGGAACUGGUGCUGGUGGAAACAUGGGGCCACACAGAGCAGCCAGGAUGGCUAGGCAGCUGCUUGUCACCCUUGCCUGCAGAGAGGAGAGACAGAGGAGUGCCAGGGUGAGAUCUGAGAGAGGAGCAGGGGCUGAGGCUCUGGAGGAAGCAAGAGGCACAGGUGUCCGCAGCCGGAGUGCCGGAGGGAGGGUCACCUCGCCAGCGUGGGCCCAGAUGGCACUGCACAUGUCUCAGCCCUUGCCGGAGCCGUGUCCACUGAGGCAGCACCUAAGGUAAUCACAAGAUCUUCUGCAGCAGAGAUGUGGAGCGGAAAGUAGUCACCAUCUUGAAGAGAAGCUGAAUGGAUUGAGGUACUGUGCAGCAUCAGGGCCUGGAAACAAGCACCUCCAGUGAAUGGCUGGAAGAAACUCAAGCCAGUCUGCAGAAGGACCAUUAAUUUGUUAUAUUAUUGGAAUGAUAUUCUUUCUAGUGAACAGAUUUUUAGGAGAGACACAGGUAGUGAGGUGACACAGGCCUGUGUUCAGGAGGUUGGUGUCUAGCCAACAGAUAGUCAGAUAAUCAAAAGACUGCAGAAACGCACUAAAGAAGCAGAUGUGUUCAGAAAAAGUCAUCUGAGCCUUUUCCACAGAGCCACCAGUGAGAUCAGACGUCAGAUAAAGUUAUGAUACAGCUGAUAAUGGCCAUUUGCAUUUAAAAUAUGCAUAGGACACUAGCUUGGUUGUAUUUUUUUUACUGACAUCUUCAACUGCAACUGAUUAUUGUAAUACUGGUUGGAGCACAGUUGCUCAAACCAAGUCUUAACAUGUCAUUAGGCAGCUGGACAGCAAUGGGCAGACCUUGCUAGUGAGCAGUCUUUUUGCUCUGUUUCACAGGUAAUAACACAUGAGCACAUUACAGAGUCAGGCUGCCGUUCUUGUAGGUUAAGAGGGAAAAAAAAAACCUCAAACGUUAACUUCAGUUUCUGAUGUGCUUAGCUUAAAGCAAAUCAUGGAGAAAGCAAGGAAUCAUAAGAAGUGCUAGGUAGCAUGCAAUGGUUUCCAGUGCUAUAGCUGUACACUACGCUGUGUAUAGCUAGAGCUGGAAAGAAGUCAUACUUUAUAAGGUUUGUAUUUCUUGGGAUUGGUGCAAGUAUCUGAGCAUGGCCCUCUCUUUUAAUCAUGGGUCAACAUAGCUCUUACACAUACACACAUUCAUGCAGCGUUUCUUCUUAAUGUUGACCAUUUCAAGCACCAGCUAACAUCAGAUAAGAAAAAAAAAAAAAAAGUGUAUUUAUUUGGUUCCAGGAUCUAUGAGGAAGCUUCUAACCCCACCCGAUUCCCUGCCCUACUCCACUCCCCAGCUCUACUCUCUGCUCAUGUCUAAACAUAUUUACAUGUCUGAAAGGAACUGGAAAGUAUCUGAAACGUUUCCCAGAGGAUCUGAUAGCUCUUCUCACACAAAGGCUUAUUUCCAAAUCAUUAUGCCACAGUAACAUUUCAGUAAGGGGCACCUCAGGAAAGGCUUCUGACAGUUUCAGUCUGCAGAUUCAACAGUUUCGCCACCUCACCUGAAAGAUAAACAUUUGGACAGAGAUAGUUUCAGUUAAUAUUGUCCUUUGCUUGAAGAGGUGAUAGAUCUGCAGUCCAUAUAAGACAGAUCAUCAAUAAGAUGGUAUUUGGAUAUAUACACUUUUACCACCGUUCAAAGUUCAUAAAACUCAGGAACAUCAUGUGGAUUUCUAAUGUUCCUUUGCAGGCUUUAAAUCCACAAAACCAUGAGUGAAUUGUUGUGAUUCAUAUGCCACUUUUAUUUUUGGCAGGCAAUGUUGAUAGUAUUGGAGAAAGAUUAUUUGAAUGAGAUCUGCAUCCACUUUCCUCAAAUCAGGACUGUGAAAAAAAAACUCAGAAAGGAGCUGUCAGCAGAAAUACAUACAAAUAUGUAUAAACUCAUACUCUGUAUGGGUUUGGACGGUACAAUUCCAGACAUGACAGAUGAGCAGGAUGAGCAGGACUUUCUGUAGUUCCUGUGGAAGGUUGGGCAAGCAAACAUCUGGGAAUGGACACUGAGGAAGAGGAAAUAUCUACAUGUCAGUAAUAUGAAAGUUAUAUUGUACACCUGCUUUUUAGACAUGCCAUCUGCGCUCAGUCAUACCAUAAUAUAGCUUUGAUGACAUGCCACAGCUAAAGGGCCGGCAAUAUACUUCUUGCUUCAUUGACAUGAGUGACACAACUCUGUAAAACUCACUGCUUAAUGAUAUAAAUCAUAACUCUCAUGGUAUAUGGUUGUCCCACACAUUUUUCAAUGCUUAAACCCACGCUAAGUAUUUUGCUGCUGAAAACACCGAAAGAGAAUUACGGUGGAAACUGAUGCAUGCCAGGUAAGCAAUAGCACCUUAUCUAUACUAAUGCUGAACUUCUCAUUAUAUUGUGUUGGCCUAUAAGUACACCGUAACAUCCAGUGGAUAUUGUUUACAAUGACCUAAUAACAAGCAAUUCUGUUCCCAUUACUGCUCACAGUCUCACAGUAAAUGUUUCUUGUUUCCACAGUAAACUGACUACAACUGAAAGGUACCACCGUGCUUUGUCAAAAGUUGAAUAAAUCUUGUAUUUAGAAAAGGAAAUGUGAUAUA
Numida meleagris (helmeted guineafowl) is the source of this 2971-nucleotide long non-coding RNA. NCBI's taxonomy places the organism in Eukaryota, Metazoa, Chordata, Aves, Galliformes, Numididae. The record is from Ensembl.